This 497-nucleotide ribosomal RNA is filed under the name uncultured bacterium. RNAcentral's name for it is "partial 16S ribosomal RNA". It matches the Rfam family "Bacterial small subunit ribosomal RNA", at positions 28 to 507 of the family's 1533-position model. The record is from RNAcentral.
GAUGAACGCUGGCGGCGUGCCUAAUACAUGCAAGUCGAGCGAACGGACGAGAAGCUUGCUUCUCUGAUGUUAGCGGCGGACGGGUGAGUAACACGUGGAUAACCUACCUAUAAGACUGGGAUAACUUCGGGAAACCGGAGCUAAUACCGGAUAAUAUUUUGAACCGCAUGGUUCAAAAGUGAAAGACGGUCUUGCUGUCACUUAUAGAUGGAUCCGCGCUGCAUUAGCUAGUUGGUAAGGUAACGGCUUACCAAGGCAACGAUGCAUAGCCGACCUGAGAGGGUGAUCGGCCACACUGGAACGGAGACACGGUCCAGACUCCUACGGGAGGCAGCAGUAGGGAAUCUUCCGCAAUGGGCGAAAGUCUGACGGAGCAACGCCGCGUGAGUGAUGAAGGUCUUCGGAUCGUAAAACUCUGUUAUUAGGGAAGAACAUAUGUGUAAGUAACUGUGCACAUCUUGACGGUACCUAAUCAGAAAGCCACGGCUAACUACGUG